RNAcentral lists this unclassified non-coding RNA (343 nucleotides) under soil metagenome. Its description in RNAcentral is "partial contains 5.8S ribosomal RNA, internal transcribed spacer 2, and large subunit ribosomal RNA". The stretch from base 1 to 120 matches the Rfam family "5.8S ribosomal RNA", at positions 35 to 154 of the family's 154-position model. The record is from RNAcentral.
GAUGAAGAACGCAGUGAAAUGCGAUAAGUAAUGUGAAUUGCAGAAUUCAGUGAAUCAUCGAAUCUUUGAACGCACAUUGCGCCCGCCAGUAUUCUGGCGGGCAUGCCUGUUCGAGCGUCAUUUCAACCCUCAGGCCCCGCCUGGCGUUGGGGAUCGGCGCGGCCCUCUCCGGGCUGCCGGCCCCGAAAACUAGUGGCGGUCUCGCUGUAGUCCUCCUCUGCGCAGUAGCAACGCUCGCACUGGAACUCGGCGCGGCCACGCCGUAAAACACCCCACUUCUGAAAGUUGACCUCGGAUCAGGUAGGAAUACCCGCUGAACUUAAGCAUAUCAAUAAGCGGAGGA